This is a long non-coding RNA of Hyaena hyaena (striped hyena), 865 nucleotides long. RefSeq lists it as uncharacterized. The transcript is spliced from 5 exons. The record is from RefSeq and is a predicted model, not a curated record. Lineage: Eukaryota; Metazoa; Chordata; Mammalia; Carnivora; Hyaenidae.
GCCUCCUCAAAUUGAGUCAAGGGAGCUUUCUGGACCCUCAUGUCAAUCAGAUCCUGGCUGACCAGCAAGGGACAUUACUAUAACUGUAGGCCAGAUACCUGCCUUCAGCUAAGGACAACUCUUGGGGAGAGACUCAACUGAGAGCCAAGCCUCUGGCAAACAAUACUCCUAGAGCAGCUGGUGCAGUGAGUGCCUCGGCCCUGAAGGGGGAUGCUAGCCAGUGCACUACAGUCCAUCCCUUGUGCACUAAAAUCUGCUUUUUGGUAUAAGAAACAUCUCAUUUGAAACAUGUUCCCUAGGAUUCUUCAGCUCUCUGUGGGAACUUAAAAUAAGUGGAAGGAUUUCUCCCUCUGGGAGCCAGGACCUCUAAACAGCCAGACAGAGUUGCAGGAUCUAUAAGCAUAAAAUUUCCAGGUGAAUCACUGGGAGUGAUGAUUAUUAACUUUGGGGGAUAGACUAGGUCCCUCUCAGAACCACAGAAACUACCAAACAGAGGGACAGGAAGACAUCAAGGAGUCAGCCAGUUCAGGGUGUCCAGUCCUGGUACAGCCACCACUGCGGGUGUGGGCUUCGAGAACCUUUUUGAGACACAAUGAAAGCUAUGGAUCCUCCCACCACACAACUGGAAUUUGCAUUCAAUGUCAAGGCACAUGCAAGACCUCUGAGGGCCAUCCCCAGACUCCUUUGAGGAUCAUGGAACCAGGGCACCCAGAAGGCUGAAAAGCUUUAUUUCCUACCUGCUCUACAAGGAGAUACCAACCCUUUUUGAGGCGCUACUCUAAUUUCUAUUGCGGAGAGUCAGAAAGCUCUGUGGUCUUUAAUUUGCCAGAAAAAUGUGUAAUAUUAAACCAACCUUCAAAUCCCA